GCCUUAUCAAGAGCGGUGGAGGGAUCAGGCCCUGUGAAACCCGGCAACCUGGCGUCAGCGUCAAGGUGCUAAAUCCUGCGGUUAUUUUCCGGAAGAUGGGGA
The sequence is a regulatory RNA element, 102 nucleotides long. It matches the Rfam family "SAM riboswitch aptamer (S box leader)". From Rfam's summary of the family: The SAM riboswitch is found upstream of a number of genes which code for proteins involved in methionine or cysteine biosynthesis in Gram-positive bacteria. The record is from Rfam.